RNAcentral lists this long non-coding RNA (1089 nucleotides) under Chrysemys picta bellii (western painted turtle). RNAcentral's name for it is "lncRNA (ENSCPBG00000011137.1)". The record is from RNAcentral. Lineage: Eukaryota; Metazoa; Chordata; Testudines; Emydidae.
GGAGGAACCGAAGGGAAACACCCCUUGAGGCUCCCUGUUCGGCUUGUCCCCUGCCCUUCUCACCCUUCCCCGUUGGCACGAGAGCGAGGCGGGACCUGGGCGUGCGCCUGCAUAGAACGGAGAGCCGAGGGCGGGACGAGCACUGCGCCUGCGCACGGGAAGGAGUCGCGUCUGCAGGACAUCUCCGCAGUAACGAACGCGAGGAGAGUAUAACGCGCUUGCGCGGAGGAAGGGGGUGUUCUGGGCAAUACAAUGCGCCUGCGUGGGCCGGCCGCGGCUGGUCGGUGGCGGUGGAGCCGGUGGGAGCUCCCCGUGGGCCGGUAACAGCGGACGGGGCGCCACAGCCAGGAAUAAUGAGAGCAUGUUGGGUAGAACUGGCAAGAAACUCUCACUUGUUUGGAGCGUUCCUAACUUUUCUUUGGAUCUGCAGUGACACAAUCUAAUCAAAGGGACGGUGAGAGGACAGCAGAACAAAACAUAAAGGUAUGCACAAGUGUUGUGGUGAUCAGCGUACUGCAGAAAAGAAGUAAUCCGAUGCCGAAGAUCAAAACUUCUUAGAAGUGAGUACCCCCUGCCAAAAAGAGGAUACUAGUAAAGGCCAUCUGAGGCCUACAAGAGGCACAGCCUGCACAUGCUAUAUCAGCAUGUGGAACGAAAUCCAGGGUGUAUUUUGAGUUCUGUAAACAGUACUCAUGAUGAUCUCACAUUGCAGGCCACACUGAUAACUUGGCCUGCAAUGUGCAGGAGGUCAGACGGGAUCAUUGCGAGGGUCCCUUCUGGCCUCAAAGUCUGAGUCUUACUUGCCAGAAGCUUGGGAACUGCACUUAGCAAAUAUAGUCUCUUCUGCACUCCCAUGCCCCCAAAUCAUCCUGGGUCACAGUGUCAGGUCUGUGGGCUGAACCCCUGGACUCCAUCUUUGUUCUCCAGUCAGUGCGGUAAGAUGCAGUGAUCUGUUUUAGAGGUGAUUAGGGGACCGCCUGUCCCAUGGGAUACUUUCUGCCCUGCAGCUGAGAACGUGAUGGUUCAGGGACAGGAAGAGAUGAUGAUGAUGAUGAUGAAACUGCCAUGCUGCAAGGAUAUGUAAUGUAA